Long non-coding RNA from Homo sapiens (human), 577 nucleotides. NCBI's taxonomy places the organism in Eukaryota, Metazoa, Chordata, Mammalia, Primates, Hominidae. The record is from Ensembl.
ACAUCUAGGAAGUGAGAAGCGUCUCUGCCCGGCCGCCCAUCGUCUGAGAUGUGGGGAGCGCCUCUGUCCCGCCGCCCCGUCUGGGAGGUGAGGAGCGCCUCUGCCCGGCCGCGACCCCGUCUGGGAGGUGAAGAGCGUCUCUGCCCGGCCGCCCCGUCUGAGAAGUGAGGAGCCCCUCCGCCCGGCAGCCGCCCUGUCUGAGAAAAAUCAUCCAUGACUUCCUGCAAUGGAAGAUGAGGACACAGCUAAGUAUGAACAUUCAUCUUUUGAGGGCCACACAGGCACAAAUGUUACAGCUACAAGAGGAAAGAAGGUCACAACUGAGGAAAAGGGGCUGAGGGAACUCAAAAAAUACUGCAACUGGCAACAGAGACCACCAUCAAGGGAUAAAAUUACUUCAGCACCUACACACAAAACGCAGAGCAGCUGGAGAAAGGGGCAUGGGAAAAAAAGGCUGCUCAAGAGCAAACCUGAAGACCCUGUUUAUUAGCCAUUUCUCUCCCUGCAAGUGACUGGCAAUCCAUUUUGACUGAACUUGGGAUUCUGAGAUGCUCCGAAUGCCCUCUCUGGUGUUUUU